GAUGAACGCUGACAGAAUGCUUAACACAUGCAAGUCAACUGUGGCGGACGGGUGAGUAACGCGUAAAGAACUUGCCUCACAGUUAGGGACAACAUUUGGAAACGACUGCUAAUACCUGAUACUGUGAGAGAGCUUUGCGUCCCAUGAGCUAGUUGGAGAGGUAUCGGCUCACCAAGGCGAGGAGGGGUAGCCGGCCUGAGAGGGUGAUCGGCCACAAGGGGACUGAGACACGGCACGGAAGUGUACGGGAGGCAGCAGUGGGGAAUAUUGGACAAUGGACCAAAGUCUGAUCAAGUAAUUCUGUGUGCAAGAUGAAGUUUUCGGAAUGUAAAGUGCUUUCAGUUGGGAAGCGGUACCAACAGAAGAAGCGACGGCUAAAUACGUGCCAGCAGCCGCGGUAAUUC
RNAcentral lists this ribosomal RNA (404 nucleotides) under uncultured bacterium. Its description in RNAcentral is "partial 16S ribosomal RNA". It matches the Rfam family "Bacterial small subunit ribosomal RNA", at positions 28 to 526 of the family's 1533-position model. The record is from RNAcentral.